CCUACGGGAGGCAGCAGUAAGGAAUAUUGGUCAAUGGACGCAAGUCUGAACCAGCCAUGCCGCGUGAAGGAUUAAGGUCCUCUGGAUUGUAAACUUCUUUUAUCUGGGACGAAAAAAGGCGAUUCUUCGUCACUUGACGGUACCAGAUGAAUAAGCACCGGCUAACUCCGUGCCAGCAGCCGCGGUAAUACGGAGGGUGCAAGCGUUAUCCGGAUUCACUGGGUUUAAAGGGUGCGUAGGCGGGCAGGUAAGUCAGUGGUGAAAUCCUAGAGCUUAACUCUAGAACUGCCAUUGAUACUAUCUGUCUUGAAUAUUGUGGAGGUAAGCGGAAUAUGUCAUGUAGCGGUGAAAUGCUUAGAUAUGACAUAGAACACCUAUUGCGAAGGCAGCUUACUACGCAUAUAUUGACGCUGAGGCACGAAAGCGUGGGGAUCAAACAGGAUUAGAUACCCUGGUAGUCCACGCCCUAAACCGAUGAUUACUCGACAUUUGUGAUACACUAUAAGUGUNUGAGNGAAGANAUAAGUAAUACCACCGNGGAGUACGACCGACGAGUUAGAACGUACGAAGAGUAGUAGACGAGNGAGAGCGACGGACGGACGACGACGGAGGGAGGAG
Molecule: ribosomal RNA, 618 nt
Filed under: uncultured bacterium
Lineage: Bacteria
Description: bacterial SSU rRNA
Rfam family: Bacterial small subunit ribosomal RNA (bases 1-536)
Source: RNAcentral